CCAGAUAGCAGGUUGUCAGUAAAUGUGUUUUUAAUAAGUGUUUUGUUUUAGAAAAAUUUUACAUUUGUAGAACAUUUACAAACACAGUACAAAGAGUUCCUGUCCACCCCUCACCUAGUUUGCCCUUUUGUGAUUUCAAACAGAUGGUAAAGUAAACUCAGAAUGAAAGAGCCCUCAUUGUAAUCAUUUUCUGAACAAAGACACCGCAUAUGAGCCUGUAACUGCAACCAUCUCCCUGUAGGUCAGCCGGCAACAUCCUGUCAGAUCAGCCCAGCUGGAAUGAACCCUGGGUGUCAAAGAAUGUUCUGGGAAUUUCCCGGAGCUUUGUGGAUUUCAGACCUGACACUUCACUGGCUCUUACAACAGAGGGGAAGUUUCCAUACAAUUCAGUGAUGAAUGAAUCUGAGAAACACGGAAAAAGGCCAAAAGCCUAUGAUCAUUGAGGGACCCAAGCUCUAUUCAAAAUAGAUCUCCAUCCUCCCAUGUAUCUUGGAGUCCUCUGCAUCCAGCUGGCAGGGAGUGGGAAGGAGAAAUGGUCCUGGAAGGC
RNAcentral lists this long non-coding RNA (547 nucleotides) under Macaca mulatta (Rhesus monkey). Its description in RNAcentral is "lncRNA (ENSMMUG00000049417.1)". Lineage: Eukaryota; Metazoa; Chordata; Mammalia; Primates; Cercopithecidae. The record is from RNAcentral.